Molecule: ribosomal RNA, 468 nt
Filed under: uncultured bacterium
Lineage: Bacteria
Description: partial 16S ribosomal RNA
Rfam family: Bacterial small subunit ribosomal RNA
Source: RNAcentral
GACGAACGCUGGCGGCGUGCUUAACACAUGCAAGUCGAACGGAAAGGCCCUGCUUUUGUGGGGUGCUCGAGUGGCGAACGGGUGAGUAACACGUGAGUAACCUGCCCUUGACUUUGGGAUAACUUCAGGAAACUGGGGCUAAUACCGGAUAGGAGCUCCUGCUGCAUGGUGGGGGUUGGAAAGUUUCGGCGGUUGGGGAUGGACUCGCGGCUUAUCAGCUUGUUGGUGGGGUAGUGGCUUACCAAGGCUUUGACGGGUAGUCGGCCUGAGAGGGUGACCGGCCACAUUGGGACUGAGAUACGGCCCAGACGCCUACGGGAGGCAGCAGGGGAGAAUAUUGCACAAUGGGCGGAAGCCUGAUGCAGCAACGCCGCGUGCGGGAUGACGGCCUUCGGGUUGUAAACCGCUUUCGCCUGUGACGAAGCGUGAGUGACGGUAAUGGGUAAAGAAGCACCGGCUAACUACGUG